GAAUUCUGGGCGUAAAGCGCACGCAGGCGGUUGGAUAAGUUAGAUGUGAAAGCCCCGGGCUCAACCUGGGAAUUGCAUUUAAAACUGUCCAGCUAGAGUCUUGUAGAGGGGGGUAGAAUUCCAGGUGUAGCGGUGAAAUGCGUAGAGAUCUGGAGGAAUACCGGUGGCGAAGGCGGCCCCCUGGACAAAGACUGACGCUCAGGUGCGAAAGCGUGGGGAGCAAACAGGAUUAGAUACCCUGGUAGUCCACGCCGUAAACGAUGUCGAUUUGGAGGCUGUGUCCUUGAGACGUGGCUUCCGGAGCUAACGCGUUAAAUCGACCGCCUGGGGAGUACGGCCGCAAGGUUAAAACUCAAAUGAAUUGACGGGGGCCCGCACAAGCGGUAAUCGAAUU
Molecule: ribosomal RNA, 394 nt
Filed under: uncultured bacterium
Lineage: Bacteria
Description: bacterial SSU rRNA
Rfam family: Bacterial small subunit ribosomal RNA
Source: RNAcentral